UACGGAGGGUGCAAGCGUUAUCCGGAUUCACUGGGUUUAAAGGGUGUGUAGGCGGGUAUUUAAGUCAGUGGUGAAAUCUCCGGGCUCAAACCGGAAACUGCCAUUGAUACUAUUUAUCUUGAAUUCUGUUGAGGUAGGCGGAAUAUAUCAUGUAGCGGUGAAAUGCUUAGAUAUGAUAUAGAACACCGAUUGCGAAGGCAGCUUACUAAACAGACAUUGACGCUGAGGCACGAAAGCGUGGGGAUCAAACAGG
RNAcentral lists this ribosomal RNA (253 nucleotides) under uncultured bacterium. RNAcentral's name for it is "partial 16S ribosomal RNA". It matches the Rfam family "Bacterial small subunit ribosomal RNA", at positions 524 to 776 of the family's 1533-position model. The record is from RNAcentral.